RNAcentral lists this ribosomal RNA (1470 nucleotides) under Candidatus Saccharimonadota bacterium. RNAcentral describes it as "bacterial SSU rRNA". It matches the Rfam family "Bacterial small subunit ribosomal RNA". The record is from RNAcentral. Lineage: Bacteria; Candidatus Saccharimonadota.
UUAACUGAGAGUUUGAUCCUGGCUCAGGAUAAACGCUGGCGGCGUGCCUAAUACAUGCAAGUCGUACGGAAACACUUCGGGUGUCGAGUGGCGGACGGGUGAGUAAUACGCAGGAAUAUACCCCAAAGUGAGGGAUAACUAUCUGAAAAGAUAGCUAAUACCGCAUGUGAUCUUUGGAUUAAAGCUUUUUAUGAAGCGCUUUGGGAAUAGCCUGUGGCGGAUUAGCUAGUUGGUAAGGUAAAGGCUUACCAAGGCGAUGAUCCGUAGCUGGUUUGAGAGGAUGAUCAGCCACACUGGGACUGAGACACGGCCCAGACUCCUACGGGAGGCAGCAGUAAGGAAUUUUUCGCAAUGGACGAAAGUCUGACGGAGCAACGCCGCGUGCAGGACGAAGGUCUUCGGAUCGUAAACUGCUUUUGUUAGUGACGAAUAUGACGGUAACUAACGAAUAAGGAUCUGCUAACUACGUGCCAGCAGCAGCGGUCAUACGUAGGAUCCAAGCGUUAUCCGGAUUUACUGGGCGUAAAGAGUUGCGUAGGCGGUUAAUUAAGCGAUAUAUGAAAGCGUGUGGCUUAACCAUACAAUUGUCUAUCGAACUGGUUAACUAGAGUCUAGAAGAGGUCACCGGAAUUUUUAGUGGAGGAGUGAAAUCCGUAGAUAUUAGAAGGAACACCGAUGGCGUAGGCAGGUGACUGGUCUAUGACUGACGCUCAGGCACGAAAGCGUGGGUAGCGAACGGGAUUAGAUACCCCGGUAGUCCACGCCGUAAACGAUGGAUGCUAGCUGUCCGAGGUUCAACCCUUUGGGUAGCGUCGCUAACGCUUUAAGCAUCCCGCCUGUGGAGUACGAGCGCAAGCUUAAAACAUAAAGGAAUUGACGGGGACCUGCACAAGCGGUGGAGCGUGUUGUUUAAUUCGAUGAUAAGCGAAGGACCUUACCAAGGUUUGACAUCCUACUAAGUCUUGGGAAACUAAGAUGUGCCUUUUGGCUGUAGUGACAGGUGAUGCAUGGCCGUCGUCAGCUCGUGUCGUGAGAUGUUGGGUUAAGUCCCGCAACGAGCGCAACCCUUAUAUUUAGUUAUAUUUCUCUAAAUAGACUGCCUUGGCAACAGGGAGGAAGGAGGGGAUGAUGUCAGGUCAGUAUUUCCCUUAUAUCUUGGGCAACAAACACGCUACAAUGGUCGGUACAAAGGGUAGCCAACCUGCGAAGGGGAGCAAAUCCCAUCAAAGCCGAUCUCAGUUCGGAUUGUAGGCUGAAACUCGCCUACAUGAAGUCGGAAUCGCUAGUAAUGGUAAGUCAGCACAUUACCGUGAAUAAGUACCCGGGUCUUGUACACACCGCCCGUCAAGCCACGGAAGUCAGGGGCACCCGAAGUAUGUUCAAUAAGAAUGUCCUAAGGUGAAUUUGAUAACUGGGGUUAAGUCGUAACAAGGUAUCCGUAGCGGAAGCUGCGGAUGGAUUACCUCCUUU